This 497-nucleotide long non-coding RNA is filed under the name Oryza brachyantha (malo sina). RNAcentral's name for it is "long non-coding RNA (OBRA_LNC000963)". The record is from RNAcentral. Lineage: Eukaryota; Viridiplantae; Streptophyta; Magnoliopsida; Poales; Poaceae.
AAAAAAAUCAAAUAUUUUAUAUUAUAAAACGGAGGGAGUAGCUAGCAACAUUUAUCCCAGAGAAAGAAACCCAUCAUUAUAUAAGGUGAUUAAAUUAAGACAGGGUUCUUCAUCUCAUUAUUCAAGUGCAUUAAUAAACAACCUGAAGGCCGUUUACAUGGACAGCGACACACUUCAAUUCAAUUUCCACAGGCGACGAUGAACUGAACCUUCACGUACACGCGGCCGACGUAGCCUUACGGCCCAAACACCGGCACCUUGUUGUCGCAAUCGGCGUCGUCGUUGUCACUCAACGCCGCCCCAGACGAAGGCGCUCCGGCCACCGCCGAGGGCACGGCGAUGCGCGUGACGCUCCUGUUCUCCAGAACGCGGCGGCCGGCGACGGCGCCGUGCGCGGUCGAGACGGCCGCGGCGGAGACGACGACGACCGCGACGGUGAGGGUGGCCACGAGCGCGGCGAGCUUGGCCAUUUUCGCGGUGGUCGAUCGUCGUGUGAC